Lineus longissimus is the source of this 1511-nucleotide long non-coding RNA. RefSeq lists it as uncharacterized. The record is from RefSeq and is a predicted model, not a curated record. Lineage: Eukaryota; Metazoa; Nemertea; Pilidiophora; Heteronemertea; Lineidae. The transcript is spliced from 4 exons.
GAUAAAUGCGGACCUGCUUCUUCCUCUUUUCGCAGUAACGGUGUUUCGAUAACUCAGUUAGACUUCGAGAUCUACAUUUUCGACAAAGGCCUGGUGUAAUAUUACAUACUUGAUGAAGGUUUAAUGACACGAAUGAGUACAAGUACAUUACAUUUUUCGACGAAGGCCUUCUGUAAUUUCAUACACUUCUUACGCAACAUUCAAUAGAUUUAUUUACUGUAUUAUCAUUUCGACCAAGGCGAAUUCGACACUUCAGUUACACAAGGUUAGUAACUUUUGUUCACAAAAUCCAAAUGGAGGCAAAUACAGAACAAUCAAACUUAGUCAUUCCAGUCAGUUACUGAAGCACAGUGAAAACUGUCGGGAGCAAUGCAACUGAUGGCAUGUCAAACUUCCAGUGACUGUCCCUGUCCAUAUAUUUCAAGACAGUACAAAUCUUGUAAUCAUUUUGUUUAUGCAAUGUACGUUAUUAUGUAUCAUUUCAGCACAAUCAAACUUAGUCAUUCCAGUCAGUUACUGAAGCACAGCGAAAACUGUCUGAAUUAGUGCUGCUGAUGGCAUGUAAUUACUCUACUACCACUACCAGUGACAGUCAAUGUCCAUAUAUUUUCAAGUGUGCGAAAUUAGUACUCGUCUACUUCUUAGUGUUAUUUGAAUGCAAUGUAUGUCAUAAAAAUAUUUUUUCAACACUAUAAUAUCAACAUUCUCAUUCCUGUCAGUUUCUGAAAAUCAGCUAAAGCAAUCGCUACCAAUGCAGCUGAUAACAGCAAUUCUUUUUGUUCCCAAUGCCCAUCCAUGACAAUAUAUUUCACGCAUGUGACAAUCAUGUAAUCAUCCUGUUUUUUGUGUUCUAUUCAUGCAAUAAAUAAAUUCAGUAUUUUCAAAUCAUUGGUGCUACAAAACUAUUCUCAUUAUAUAUUAUUCAUAUUUUAUAAAAUGCUGUCAUGUCAAAUUUUGUGUCCUAUAAAUCAUUAUGAAGUCGGCAUUUUAUAUACAACUUUUGUACUCCUCCUAAAUAAACAUACAAAUCUUGUUUUAUGUAAACUUUGUAUAUGUGACCCGUCACAGCAAAACCAGGCGCAUGUCGCUCUGAGCUUGGCAGGUUGAGACGGACUGUUCUAAUCUUUCAUUAGCGACACCAUUUCUUACCCGAGUGCCUCCUUCAUUCAUACAUCUUGUACUUUAACUCAAGAUACCCAUCUUUGAAUAUUUUUAGUAUACCAAGUACUACAAUGUCAAUGUAUUGAAGUCAUGUUCUUGUAGUGUUAUUGGCUUUCUAUUAUCUUGUCAAAAUACCACUUGGUUCUCGCAAAAUCUCAAUAAAAACAAAUGCUAUUGCAUGUAUUGCAUAUUCUAACAGCUAUCCACUGUAUCGACUUAUCCAUCAUCUGUACUAUUUGUCACAAAAAUGUUAUAUUAUGUAAAUCAUAUUUCAUUACAUAAUGCACACUGCCAAUUACUGCUGAACCAUUCAUAUGUCAUUUAAAUAAAUAAUUUUCAACUUUUUAAAA